CCGGGGGAUCCCCAAGGCUGCUGGGGAAUUUUUGGGGGCCACAAGGAGAAGUUUGGGGAGGUGGAGGGCAGGACCGAGGUGGGGGCUCCGUGUUUUUUGGGGGGUUCUGGGAAUUGGGGGGGGGUCCCCAAGCCUGAGGGAAUUUGGGGGGGUCCCCAAGGUCUGAGGGAAUGGGGGGGUCCCGGGGGUCCCGUGGCCCCCCCUGAGCGCAGCGAUGCCCCCCCAGUGAAGGACAAGAGGACACGCAGGUGGACUCGGAGGGCGCGGCCCAUGAAGGACGAGACCUUCGGGGAGUACCGGUCCCUGGAGAGCGACGGCGAGGAGAAGGCGUCGGGCAGCUCCGGGCGCUCUCUGGGCGCGGCGGGCGCGGCGCUGGGCAGCGACGACAGCCUGCCGGAUACGGCGCAGCGCCGACGUGCAGUUCAACGAGGACGGCUCCUUCAUCGGCCAGUACAGCGGCGCCCGCGGCGCCACCGCCGGCAGCUCCGGCCCCGCCAGCCCCUCGGCCGCCGCCCCGCUCGACUGACCCCACCCGUGGGUGCCCCUGGGGGUGUCCCCGCGGCCGUGGGGACGCGGUGGGGGCAGCUCAGUGUCACCCUGGGACCCCCCCCGUGGCAGUGGGGACCCCCCCCCAUGUCACAAUGGGACCCCCAAGUGUCACCGUGGGACCCUCCCGUGGCAGUGGGGACCCCCCCGUGGCAGUGGGGACCCCCCCGUGACGUAGCGGGACCCCCAUGGCCCGGGGGACCCCCCCAGUGUCACAGUGGGGACCCCCCCAAGUGUCACAGUGGGACCCCCCCCAUGUCACAAUGGGACCCCCAAGUGUCACAGUGGGACCCUCACAGCUCUGAGGACCCCCCAUGGCCCUGGGACCCCCCCCCCAUGUCACAGUGGGGCCCCCCCAUGGCCCUGGGGACCCCCCAAUGUCACAAUGGGGACCCCCAGUGUCACAAUGGGACCCCCCCAGUGUCACAGUGGGACACCGCCAGUGUCACAGUGGGACCCCCCAAUGUCACAGUGGGACCCCCACAGCUCUGAGGACCCCCCAUGACCCCCAUGACCCUGGGGACCCCCCCAAUGUCACAGUGGGACCCCCCCCAUGGCCCUGGGGACCCCCCCAAUGUCACAAUGGGACCCCCCCAAUGUCACAGUGGGACCCCCCCCAUGGCCUUGGGCACCCCCCAUGUCACAGUGGGACCCCCCCAUGACCCUGGGGACCCCCCCAAUGUCAAAUGGGGACCCCAGACCCCCCCCGGACCCCCCCCCUCCAUUUAAGGGCCCCCCCCACCCCCUUCACUGCCAAAGGGGGGAGUCCCUUAAGUGCCCCUCCCCCCCGAUUUGGGGGGGUUGUUUGAGGUGGGGGAGGGGCACAAGACCCCCCCCCGCCCAACCCCCCCAAAAACACCUCACAGUGGGGGGGGGAGGGGCGGGGACCCCCCCUUUGGACUCAGCCAAAAAAUCCCCCUCCCCCCUUCGCGCUGGAUUUUGGGGGGGGGGUCUGGACAUGGGGGGGCUGGGGGGGGGCUCUGCAGACCAAAAUUAGGGGGGGCAAGGGGGGGAUUUUGCCCCCCCCCCAGAUUUUAGACACACCCCCCCCCCACUCCCACCCUCCUUCACUCCUCCCUCCCCCCAAAAAAAUCUCUGGGGGGUUUUUUUGGGGUGAGGGUCUCAACCCCCCCCCCCAAAAUUUCUGAAUGCAUCUCACGGCGCGGCCUUGGCGACCUCACACGAGCCGGCGGGGGGGGGGCCGCACCCCGACCCCCCCCCGCCCCCCAAAACCCCCCCGGGCCCCCCCCGCACCCCAAACCCCCCCCGGGCCCCCCCCGCACCCCAAACCCCCCCUCACCUUCCCCGUGGGGGGCUCUGCACCCCAAAACCCCCCCAAAACCCUCCGGGGGGGGGGGGUCUGAACCCCAAAUCCCCCCCCAUCCCCAAAUCCCCCCCCACGGGGGGGUCUGCACCCCCCCACCCCCUCCGCGGGGGGGUCCCCACCCCAAAAAUCCCCUCCCCACGCGGGGGUCCCCACCCCAACCCCCCCCCCCCGCGCUGUGUCGUAGCUUUGUAGCCCCCCCCCCCAUGUGUGCGGUGCCCCCCCCCCCAAAAUCCCCUUUUUUGGGAAAAGAAGCGGAAAACAAAACAAAAAUCGGUCCAAAAUCGGUCCAAAGGGCCCCAAAAACGGCAGCCGAGCCCUCGCCCCUCCCCCACCUCGUGUGACCCCGACCCCCCCCCCACGUGUGACCCCCCCCGAGCGAAAACAAAAAAAACCCGCAAAAAUAAAAAAAUCCCCCCAAAAAUAUAAAAAAAAUUUAAAAAAAAGGUGGGGGGGGGGGAAAAGCCCCAAAAAUAAAGAAAAAACUGCCGGAAAA
Molecule: long non-coding RNA, 2366 nt
Organism: Taeniopygia guttata (zebra finch)
Lineage: Eukaryota; Metazoa; Chordata; Aves; Passeriformes; Estrildidae
Source: Ensembl